AUACGAAGGGGGCUAGCGUUGUUCGGAAUCACUGGGCGUAAAGCGUACGUAGGCGGAUCGUUAAGUCAGAGGUGAAAUCCCGGAGCUCAACUUCGGAAUUGCCUUUGAUACUGGCGAUCUUGAGUUCGGGAGAGGUGAGUGGAACUGCUAGUGUAGAGGUGAAAUUCGUAGAUAUUAGCAAGAACACCAGUGGCGAAGGCGGCUCACUGGCCCGAUACUGACGCUGAGGUACGAAAGCGUGGGGAGC
This 247-nucleotide ribosomal RNA is filed under the name uncultured bacterium. Its description in RNAcentral is "partial 16S ribosomal RNA". It matches the Rfam family "Bacterial small subunit ribosomal RNA", at positions 523 to 769 of the family's 1533-position model. The record is from RNAcentral.